CGGGGCGUGGCGCAGCCUGGUAGCGCGCUUCGUUCGGGACGAAGAGGUCGCUGGUUCGAAUCCAGUCGCCCCGACCA
RNAcentral lists this transfer RNA (77 nucleotides) under Deltaproteobacteria bacterium. Its description in RNAcentral is "tRNA-Pro". It matches the Rfam family "tRNA". Rfam says of the family: Transfer RNA (tRNA) molecules are approximately 80 nucleotides in length. Their secondary structure includes four short double-helical elements and three loops (D, anti-codon, and T loops). Further hydrogen bonds mediate the characteristic L-shaped molecular structure. tRNAs have two regions of fundamental functional importance: the anti-codon, which is responsible for specific mRNA codon recognition, and the 3' end, to which the tRNAs corresponding amino acid is attached (by aminoacyl-tRNA synthetases). tRNAs cope with the degeneracy of the genetic code in two manners: having more than one tRNA (with a specific anti-codon) for a particular amino acid; and 'wobble' base-pairing, i.e. permitting non-standard base-pairing at the 3rd anti-codon position. RNAcentral also lists the same sequence under 4 other names. The record is from RNAcentral. Lineage: Bacteria; Pseudomonadati; Myxococcota; Myxococcia.